RNAcentral lists this ribosomal RNA (221 nucleotides) under uncultured bacterium. Its description in RNAcentral is "partial 16S ribosomal RNA". It matches the Rfam family "Bacterial small subunit ribosomal RNA", at positions 57 to 305 of the family's 1533-position model. The record is from RNAcentral.
GCAAGUCGAACGAAGCUUUUCGGAGCUUAGUGGCGGACGGGUGAGUAACGCGUGAGAAUCUACCUAGAGGACGGGGACAACAGUUGGAAACGACUGCUAAAACCGGAUGUGCCGAGAGGUGAAAUAUUAAUAGCCUUUAGAGGAGCUCGCGUCUGAUUAGCUAGUUGGUAGUGUAAAAGACUACCAAGGCAACGAUCAGUAGCUGGUCUGAGAGGAUGGAC